GAUGAACGCUGGCGGCGUGCCUAAUACAUGCAAGUCGAGCGAACAGAUGAGGAGCUUGCUCCUCUGACGUUAGCGGCGGACGGGUGAGUAACACGUGGAUAACCUACCUAUAAGACUGGGAUAACUUCGGGAAACCGGAGCUAAUACCGGAUAAUAUAUUGAACCGCAUGGUUCAAUAGUGAAAGACGGUUUUGCUGUCACUUAUAGAUGGAUCCGCGCCGCAUUAGCUAGUUGGUAAGGUAACGGCUUACCAAGGCAACGAUGCGUAGCCGACCUGAGAGGGUGAUCGGCCACACUGGAACUGAGACACGGUCCAGACCCCUACGGGAGGCAGCAGUAGGGAAUCUUCCGCAAUGGGCGAAAGCCUGACGGAGCAACGCCGCGUGAGUGAUGAAGGUCUUCGGAUUGUAAAACUCUGUUAUUGGGGAAGAACAAAUGUGUAAGUAACUAUGCACGUCUUGACGGUACCUAAUCAGAAAGCCACGGCUAACUACGUG
Molecule: ribosomal RNA, 497 nt
Filed under: uncultured bacterium
Lineage: Bacteria
Description: partial 16S ribosomal RNA
Rfam family: Bacterial small subunit ribosomal RNA
Source: RNAcentral